Molecule: long non-coding RNA, 827 nt
Organism: Gymnodraco acuticeps
Lineage: Eukaryota; Metazoa; Chordata; Actinopteri; Perciformes; Bathydraconidae
Exons: 4
Source: RefSeq, a predicted model, not a curated record
UAAAAUACACCCGGGUUAGUAGGCGCACGGGGAGGGAAAGUAUUUUAAAAUAAAGUCAACCAAGUGUCCCUAAAAGUGCUUAAAACCCAGGCCGAGGUCUAUGUGGUGCAGGUGAGACAUGGGACACGCCUCGGAUGAUGUUUAAAAAUACUUUAUUAAUGGGCUUAUUUCAGGGUGUUUCUGUGCGGGAGGCUCCAACAUCCAUUUAAAAUACAAUGGAAAGUAAUAACUAAAAUAUAAAUAAAAUAAUAUAAACAAUGUUUAAAUAGCAAACAGGGGAUUAAUAAUAAAUAGGAUAACAUAUAUAACCUCCUCAUUUGGAACCUAAUCAAAUAAGAAAACAUGCAAUAGGCGGGGGCCAUGUCUCUCCUGCCUGUGUCAGUAUAAAUUAGAAGUUUCUUUUGGCUUUCAGACACACUUCAUGGGUUUCUUUAAUUCCUGGUGUUUCUGCAGAACCUCUCACAUCACUCCUGUCCGCUGACACAGAAACAACCUCAGCUGCUGGGUCAUUAUUUAGAUUUUACUCAACAGAAGGACACACUUCAUGGGUUUCUUUAAUUCCUGGUGUUUCUGCAGAACCUCUCACAUCACUCCUGUCCGCUGACACAGAAACAACCUCUGCUGCUGGGUCAUUAUUUAGAUUUUACUCAACAGAAGGAACCUCUCACAUCACUCCUGUCCGCUGACACAGAAACAACCUCUGCUGCUGGGUCAUUAUUUAGAUUUUACUCAACAGAAGGAUUUUUAGUCAAAAUGAAGAUCGCUGCCUUCAAUGUCCAGACACUGGGAUGGGAUAAAGUCAACAACCAGGACGUACGGGAUAAUAU